This 565-nucleotide unclassified non-coding RNA is filed under the name uncultured Marinobacter sp. RNAcentral's name for it is "partial 16S-23S ribosomal RNA intergenic spacer". The stretch from base 100 to 173 matches the Rfam family "tRNA". Lineage: Bacteria; Pseudomonadati; Pseudomonadota; Gammaproteobacteria; Pseudomonadales; Marinobacteraceae. The record is from RNAcentral.
CCUCCUUAAACGAAGCCGAACGCUUCGGUCAGAGUCCACACGAAUUACUUGGUUAGCUGAAUAAAGAGAGCAGAUGGGUCGUUGCAGGCCCGUGUUUUUGGGUCUGUAGCUCAGGUGGUUAGAGCCCACCCCUGAUAAGGGUGAGGUCGGUGGUUCAAGUCCACCCAGACCCACCAGAAUUGCGUGGCUCGUCGUUGCUUCCAAGCUCACGUGCGACUCGCACGCUACGCUUGCAAGCGCCUAGAUCCACACAAUUCUAUAGCUAAGGUUAAACGACCUGGCUUGUGUGGAAGAUCGAGGGGCCAUAGCUCAGCUGGGAGAGCGCCUGCCUUGCACGCAGGAGGUCGGCGGGUUCGAUCCCGCCUGGCUCCACCAAAAGCCUGAACGAUCGAUGCUUACAUAACUGACUAACUCCGGUUAGCAGUGUGCAGAAACAAGUGUUUCAACUUGAUGAAAAAAGUUCGAAGCCCUUCUUUCUGAUCACUGGGUCAAAUUUGCUCUUUAACAAAUUGGACGAGAUAAAACACGAUUGAUGGAUUCCAUUAUCUCCGGAAUUCUUGAUCAA